This is a non-coding RNA of Macaca mulatta (Rhesus monkey), 830 nucleotides long. The record is from RefSeq and is a predicted model, not a curated record. NCBI's taxonomy places the organism in Eukaryota, Metazoa, Chordata, Mammalia, Primates, Cercopithecidae.
CUCUGUGCCGAUGCAGAGGGCACAACUGCUCUGUGGCACAGCCUCUGUGAUCUGCUGCCGCGUGAGGGUCCUGUCAUCUUGUCUUUCCGUUGCUUCUUCCUUCAGGGCACCAGGGACACCACCAAAAUGGUUUUAGCUGAUGACUGUGUUGCUCCAGUCUCUUGGGUUGUGCACGGAUUGUUUUGAAUAGGAUGAGAAAGCUCUUCUUCUCAAAUGAACACUCUUUCUCUAAUGAGAAUGUGAUCAACAUUUAAAAUCUCUCCCGGGGAAGGAACUGAGAAGGAAACAUUUUUUCUUUUUUUUCCUCGGGAGUUUUGUGACUUAUCUGCCAAGAACGUGAGGUGUGGGGGAUACUCAGACAUUUUACUCCAAAAGCCAUUUCAGAAGGCCUGAUUUUGGAAAAACAUUUUCUAUCUGACAGUUUGUGCUGCUUCUAUCUUUUCAUUUCCAGGUUGCAAUCUUUGACGGCUGAAUUUGGCACAACUAACUGACUCACUGUGUGCAUAAUCAGCCCUGUUGACCUGACUGGAGAAUGGCAGAUAGGACGCUUUGGACAAACAGAGCCAGCUACUGAAAACAGAUCUUCAUUUGGGUAAAUGCCAAGGAAUGAAGUCACAAGGCCAUGUGGAAACAAAAAAAGAAAAUCGAAUGGAGGAGUAGGAAUAACAAAAUGGAGACAGCAGCAGAAGACAGAGAGAGGUGGACAAGAGAACACCCUCAAGAUAAAGAGACCAGGGCACAGAAAGGGAAGAGGCAAAGAGACAAGUACAUGAGGAAACAUGUCAGACUUGGAGGGUCUCGCUCUGUCAACUAGGUUAGAGUGCAGUGGU